UUAAGCUACUAAGGGCACUUGGUGGAUGCCUUGGCGCCGUGCAGCGAUGAAGGACGUGGUUAGCUGCGAUAAGCCUCGGGGAGCGGCAAACACGCAUUGAUCCGGGGAUCUCCGAAUGGGGCAACCCACUGCGCGCACACGUGCAGUAUCCCUUGACUGAACACAUAGGUCUCGGGAGGCAGACGGGGUGAAUUGAAACAUCUCAUUAACCCCAGGAACAGAAGACAACAGUGAUUUCCCAAGUAGCGGCGAGCGAACGGGAAAGAGCCCAAACCGUCGGUGUGUUAAAGCAAACGGGCGUUGCAUCGACGGGGUUGCGGGAGUCGUCCGGGGAAACCGUUUUUUCCCCAGGGAGUUACAAAGUCCAUGGCUAGUUGAACGGUCUGGAAAGUCCGACCACAGAAGGUGAUAGUCCUGUAAGCGAAAGUCAUGGACCUCCUGAUGAAUUUCCCAAGUACCGCGGGACACGAGAAAUCUUGCGGGAAUCUAGCUGGACCAUCAGCUAAGGCUAAAUAUGUCACGGCGACCGAUAGUGGACCAGUACCGUGAGGGAAAGGUGAAAAGCACCCCUAGCGGGGAGUGAAAUAGUACCUGAAACCAGGUGCCUACAAGCUGUCGGAGGAUCUUCGGAUCUGACGGCGUGCCUUUUGCAUAAUGAGCCGGUGAGUUAUCGUAUGCAGCAAGGUUAAGCGUCGCUGGCGCGAAGCCGAAGCGAAAGCGAGUCUGAACAGGGCGUACAGUUGCAUGCGGUAGACCCGAAGCCGAGUGAUCUAGCCAUGGCCAGGAGGAAGCGCGAGUAACAUCGCGUGGAAGUCCGAACCAGGGUGGGUUGAAAACCGCUUGGAUGAGCUGUGGCUAGGGGUGAAAGGCCAAUCAAACUCGGUGAUAGCUGGUUCUCCCCGAAAUAGUUUUAGGACUAGCCUCGUGUUAGUUUGCCGGAGGUAGAGCACUGAAUGGGCUAGGGGCCCCACAAGGUUUACCGAACCCAAUCAAACUCCGAAUGCCGGCAAUAUGAUGCACGGGAGUCAGGCUGCGGGUGAUAAGAUCCGCGGCCGAGAGGGAAAGAGCCCAGACCCUCGGCUAAGGUCCCUAAAUCCAGCCUAAGUGAUGGAAGGAAGUUGAACCGCUCAGACAGCUAGGAGGUUGGCUUAGAAGCAGCCAUCCUUUAAAGAAAGCGUAACAGCUCACUAGUUAAGUGGUUCGGCGCCGAAAAUACUCGGGGCUCAAGGUUGGUACCGAAGCCAGGGAUUCGUUGCUUGCAACGAAUGGUAGGGGAGCAUUCCGUAGGUGGGCGAAGCGGUGUCGUGAGACACCGUGGACACAUCGGAAGAGCCUAUGCCGGCAUGAGUAGCGAUAAAACAGGUGAGAAACCUGUUCGCCGUAAGCCUAAGGUUUCCUGAGCAAGGCUAAUCCACUCAGGGUAAGUCGGCCCCUAAGCCGAGGCCGAAAGGCGUAGGUGAUGGGAAUCCGGUCAAAAUUCCGGAACCUGGUUGAUUUCGUUCGUACGAUGGGGUGACGCAGAAGUGAAAGGUCAGCGCACUGAUGGAUGUGCGUCCAAGGACGUAGGAGGAGGGUCCAGGUAAAUCCGGAUCCUCAACUCCGAGAUCUGAUGGGGAAGCGCGCCUUCGGGCAAGCCAACUGACCCUAAUCAGGCUGCCGAGAAAAACCUCUAAGGAGAGAUCGACCAGACCGUACCGUAAACCGACACAGGUAGGCGAGGAGAGUAUCCUAAGGCGCUCGAGAGAACCCUGGUGAAGGAACUAGGCAAAAUGGCCCCGUAACUUCGGGAGAAGGGGCGCCACGAGUAGGUGUAGCGGUUCGCCCGCGAAGCCCAAAGUGGCCGCAGUGAAAAGGCCUUGGCGACUGUUUACUAAAAACACAGGUCUCUGCCAAGUCGCAAGACGACGUAUAGGGACUGACACCUGCCCGGUGCCGAUCUGUUAAGGGGAGGGGUUAGCCGCAAGGCGAAGCUCUGAACUGAAGCCUCGGUAAACGGCGGCCGUAACUAUAACGGUCCUAAGGUAGCGAAAUUCCUUGUCGGGUAAGUUCCGACCUGCACGAAUGGUGUAACGAUCGAGGCGCUGUCUCCACCAGGGACUCGGCGAAAUUGAAGUGGCGGUGAAAAUACCGCCUUCCCGCAGUUAGACGGGAAGACCCCGUGAACCUUUACUAUAGCUUCGCAUUGGGUCUAGGUAUUGCUUGUGUAGGAUAGGUGGGAGGCUGUGAAACGGGCACGCCAGUGUUCGUGGAGCCAUUGGUGAAAUACCACCCUAGCAAUGCUUGGGUUCUAACCUGACUCCGUGAUCCGGGUCAGGAACAGUGCGUGGUGGGUAGUUUGACUGGGGCGGUCGCCUCCAAAAAAGUAACGGAGGCGCGCAAAGGUUCCCUCAGCGUGGUUGGCAAUCACGCGUCGAGUGUAAAGGCAUAAGGGAGCUUGACUGCGAGACCCACAAGUCGAGCAGGAGCGAAAGCUGGUCUUAGUGAUCCGGCGGUCCCGCAUGGAAGGGCCGUUGCUCAACGGAUAAAAGGUACUCCGGGGAUAACAGGCUGAUCUCCCCCAAGAGUCCACAUCGACGGGGAGGUUUGGCACCUCGAUGUCGGCUCAUC
RNAcentral lists this ribosomal RNA (2607 nucleotides) under activated sludge metagenome. Its description in RNAcentral is "bacterial LSU rRNA". It matches the Rfam family "Bacterial large subunit ribosomal RNA", at positions 3 to 2541 of the family's 2925-position model. The record is from RNAcentral.